UUUGCUUAAAUCAGAUCAUAAAAUCAAAGCAAGCUUAAUUACAUAACAAUUAUUCUUUUGCUCUUAAUUCUUUAUCUUCAAAAGUAAAAUGAAAAGACUUACAUGCUUAAAUUAUGAUUCUACAAUCUACAUGUUCAUACUCGGAAACAAUUUUGGAGAAUGCAAACCACACAGGAGUAUGGGAUUGCUAUGUGUAUUGUGAGCUUUAAUACAACCACCCAGUUUGCACAACCAUUUCUGUGUAUCAAACACAUGAUUGUGACUGCUCCUUAGUUAUUUGACAUCUAUACAUGAUUGCAUCCCCUCUUGCAAAGGACUAAACAAUUAGAGAUUCUACAGAAUAUAAAUCCCUAAAGUGUAACAUCAGCUGGUCAACAAUAUGAUCCAAACAAGCCUUGGUAAAUGACUCGCCAAUACCCAAUAGCCAGAGGUAUUUAAAAGCAUCAAGGCCAAGCUGCACUUAAGCUGCAAAAUGAAUGGGCAGUCACAACUCAUAAUACGCAAUCAUGCCAGAAGAUUCCUUAGAAACAGUUACAGUAUUUAUAUCUGCUGCAAAGAUGUUCACCAUGUUGAAUAUGGUUGGCUUACAAAUAGGCUCAUAGUAGAGGCAAUACAAACCGCAUGGCAAAUUAGGAAUAGACGCAAAUAAUUAUAAAACUAGAACAACCUUGUAGCAGCUAAAGAGGUUUGAAAAAACUAAUGGGCAGGAGAGUUAGAUAGGCAUGUCAUCAUCAUCUAACUCAACAACCAUUUAAUAAAAGGAGGGAAAGGAAAGCAAAAGAGAACCUAACAACCUCACUACAUAGUGGUUCCAAGUUCAGACUCUCCACAGUGAUUUCUCUUCUCUGCUUAACUUUUUUAUCUUGAAUUGAGCUCUCAUAUGUAGAGUUUCUUCCUGCAAAGGG
This 905-nucleotide unclassified non-coding RNA is filed under the name Hevea brasiliensis (rubber tree). Lineage: Eukaryota; Viridiplantae; Streptophyta; Magnoliopsida; Malpighiales; Euphorbiaceae. The record is from RNAcentral.